GACGAACGCUGGCGGCGUGCUUAACACAUGCAAGUCGAACGGAAAGGCCUGCUUUCCCUUGUGGAUUGCGGGUACUCGAGUGGCGAACGGGUGAGUAACACGUGAGUGAUCUGCCCCCAACUUGGGUAUAAGCCUGGGAAACUGGGUCUAAUUCCCGAUAGGACUGCAGGGUGGUGCCUGUGGUGGAAAACGAUUUUCUAGUGGUUGGGGAUGGGCUCGCGGCCUAUCAGCUUGUUGGUGGGGUAAUGGCCUACCAAGGCGGCGACGGGUAGCCGGCCUGAGAGGGUGGACGGCCACAUUGGGACUGGGAUACGGCCCAGACUCCUACGGGAGGCAGCAGUGGGGAAUAUUGCACAAUGGGCGGAAGCCUGAUGCAGCGACGCCGCGUGGGGGAUGACGGCCUUCGGGUUGUAAACUCCUUUCGACCGCGAGGAAGCCACCUGGUUGGAAGGGUGGUGACGGUAGUGGUAGAAGAAGCACCGGCUAACUACGUG
Molecule: ribosomal RNA, 494 nt
Filed under: uncultured bacterium
Lineage: Bacteria
Description: partial 16S ribosomal RNA
Rfam family: Bacterial small subunit ribosomal RNA
Source: RNAcentral